This 254-nucleotide ribosomal RNA is filed under the name uncultured bacterium. RNAcentral describes it as "partial 16S ribosomal RNA". It matches the Rfam family "Bacterial small subunit ribosomal RNA", at positions 524 to 776 of the family's 1533-position model. The record is from RNAcentral.
UACGUAGGUGGCAAGCGUUGUCCGGAUUUACUGGGCGUAAAGGGCGUGCAGGCGGUUUGUUAAGUGCAGGGUGAAAGCCCCCGGCUCAACCGGGGGUGGUCGUGCGAUACGGGUAGGCUUGAGGUAGGUAGGGGGGACGCGGAAUUCCGGGUGUAGUGGUGGAAUGCGUAGAGAUCCGGAGGAACACCAGCGGCGAAGGCGGCGUCCUGGACCUGGCCUGACGCUCAGGAGCGAAAGCGUGGGGAGCGAUCCGG